Molecule: non-coding RNA, 113 nt
Organism: Podarcis muralis (Common wall lizard)
Lineage: Eukaryota; Metazoa; Chordata; Lepidosauria; Squamata; Lacertidae
Source: RefSeq, a predicted model, not a curated record
CGGACCUCUGGAACGAAUUAAGUACGUAACCACUGUAAGUAGUAGGUAUCAUUGAUUUGUGUAGAUGUAAGGCAACACAGCUCCUGUCAACCUAGCAGUUUGAAAGCACCCCC